CCUCACAGUAACUCAUACAUAGAGCAUGUAACGGACCGUUUUGCCCACAAGAGGUUAAAAAACCAUUUAGGCGAUAUUCCCCUUUUUUCAGAUGCACAGACAGCUACUGCAAACACACGAAUACUGGAAACAGCCGAAUAGGAAAAACCAUGCAAAUAGGUUUACACUCCUAGCAGUCAAACUGGAACAGCAUACAAUAAAUCCUCCCCCAAUAAUGAGAU
Non-coding RNA from Pelobates cultripes (western spadefoot toad), 221 nucleotides. The record is from the annotation of a GenBank genome assembly. NCBI's taxonomy places the organism in Eukaryota, Metazoa, Chordata, Amphibia, Anura, Pelobatidae.